Molecule: ribosomal RNA, 458 nt
Filed under: uncultured bacterium
Lineage: Bacteria
Description: partial 16S ribosomal RNA
Rfam family: Bacterial small subunit ribosomal RNA
Source: RNAcentral
GAUGAACGCUGGCGGCGUGCCUAAUACAUGCAAGUCGAGCGGAAAGGCCUCUUCGGAGGUACUCGAGCGGCGGACGGCUGAGUAACACGUAGGAACAUACCCUAAAGUGAGGGAUAACUGCUCGAAAGAGUAGCUAAUACCGCAUGUGGUCUUCGGAUUAAAGCUUCGGCGCUUUGGGAAUGGCCUGCGUCUGAUAGCUAGAUGGUGAGGUAAUGGCUCACCAUGGCGACGAUCAGUAGCUGGUCUGAGAGGAUGAUCAGCCAGACUGGGACUGAGACACGGCCCAGACUCCUACGGGAGGCAGCAGUAGGGAAUUUUCCACAAUGGGCGAAAGCCUGAUGGAGCAACGCCGCGUGCAGGAUGAAUGCCUUCGGGUUGUAAACUGCUUUUAUAUGUGACGAAUAUGACGGUAGCACAUGAAUAAGGAUCGGCUAACUCCGUGCCAGCCGCCGCAGUAA